UUCUUGAAAAUUAAAAUUGUUGGCGGUAUUUUAGUCUAUUCAGAGGAACCUGUCCUAUAAUUGAUAGUCCACGAUUUUAAGUACUUAUUUUAUAUUAGUUUGUAUAUCGUCGUAGAUUGAAUAUUUUAGUAAAAUUUUGAAUAUUCAAGAUUUUUUUUAGAAAAGAAUUCAGAUCAAGAUAUAGCUUAUAGAUAAGAAGAGAUGGGUUACAAUAAAUUUAUUUAUAUGGAAGUUUUAUUUUGAAUAAAAUGGAAAGUGGAUUUGAAAGUAAUUAUAAAUAAAUAUUUAUAAUGAUUUUAGCUCUAAAAUAUGUACAUAUCGCCCGUCACUUCCAUUAUAAAAUGGAAUAAGUCGUAACAUAGUAGAUGUACUGGAAAGUGUAUCUAGAAGCAAAUUAAAGCUUUUAUAGCAUUUUAGUUACAUUAAAAAGAAUAUUUUAAUAAAUAUAAUUUGAAAUUAUUGAAUUAUUUAUAUUGUUUAAAUUUAUUGAUAGUUUAAAGAAAAAAAUUUUAUUUUUAUUAUUAUAAAGAAAAAAUUUAAAUUAUUAUAGAGUAAUAGUAUUGUGUAAGAAAUUUUGUAAUUUUGAAAAAGAAGAAUUAAAUUUUUGUACCUGGGUAUCAGGGUUUAUUAACUAAGUUUUAUAGAUUUAAUUUUCUCGAAUUUAAAAGAGUUAUAUUUUUAUAUUUUUUAUUGUGGAAUAAAUAUUACUCAUAAAAAUAUGGAAGUGAAACGUUAUUCGAUUUUAAAUAUAUCUAGUUUUUUAAGAUAAAAUUUAAUUUUAUUUUAAAUAACUAUCUCAUUACUUUUAUAAUUUGAUAGUUUUUAAAUUUUAUAUUUUUAGGGAUGAGCUUAAAAAUGUAUGGAUAUAAUAAGUAAUGGAAAUAAAUUUAAUAAAUAGGAUUAUAAGUUUUUAUUUUUUUAAGUGUUUUAUAACUAUUUGAAUUUUAAAUAAAAUUUUUAUUAGUAUUUAUAUUGUUUAUUAAAAUUUAGUUUGGAAUUUUAAUUAACUAGUAAUAAUGAUAAAAUUAGUAUAAUUUUAUUUAAACUUAAGUUUUAAAUUUUAGGUUUUUUAAAGGAACUCGGCAAAUAGAUUUUUCACCUGUUUAUUAAAAACAUGGCCUUUUGAUUAUAAUUUAAGGUCUAACCUGCCCAAUGAUUUAAUUAGUUAAAUGGCCGCGGUAUCCUAACCGUGCAAAGGUAGCAUAAUCAUUAGUUUCUUAAUUAGAAGCUGGAAUGAAGGGUUGGAUGAGAAAAUAACUGUCUCUGUUAAAAUUAUUUAGAAUUUUAUUUUUAAGUCAAAAAGCUUAAAUUUUUAUAAAAGACGAGAAGACCCUAUAGAGUUUUAUAAAUAUAAGAUUAAAUUUAUUUUAGUAUUUAG
RNAcentral lists this ribosomal RNA (1378 nucleotides) under Baris sp. NLG-2014. RNAcentral describes it as "partial 16S ribosomal RNA". The record is from RNAcentral. Lineage: Eukaryota; Metazoa; Arthropoda; Insecta; Coleoptera; Curculionidae.